Oryza sativa Indica Group (long-grained rice) is the source of this 206-nucleotide microRNA precursor. It matches the Rfam family "MIR812 microRNA precursor family". Lineage: Eukaryota; Viridiplantae; Streptophyta; Magnoliopsida; Poales; Poaceae. The record is from Rfam.
AAAAAGACAAACUAUAUUUUCCGUGUCCAAUGUUUAACCGUCCGUCUUAUUUGAAAAAUAAUAUGAAAAAAAUUAAAAAGAUAAGUCACGUAUAAAGUAUUCAUCAUAUUUUAUCAUCUAAUAACAAUGAAAAUACUAAUUAUAAAAAAAUUUCAUAUAAGACGGACAGUCAAACGUUGGCACAUAAACCCGCGGUUUGUCUUUUU